Molecule: ribosomal RNA, 253 nt
Filed under: uncultured bacterium
Lineage: Bacteria
Description: partial 16S ribosomal RNA
Rfam family: Bacterial small subunit ribosomal RNA
Source: RNAcentral
UACGUAGGGUGCGAGCGUUGUCCGGAAUUACUGGGCGUAAAGAGCUCGUAGGUGGUUUGUCGCGUUGUUCGUGAAAACUCACAGCUCAACUGUGGGCGUGCGGGCGAUACGGGCAGACUGGAGUACUGCAGGGGAGACUGGAAUUCCUGGUGUAGCGGUGGAAUGCGCAGAUAUCAGGAGGAACACCGGUGGCGAAGGCGGAUCUCUGGGCCAUUACUGACGCUGAGGAGCGAAAGCGUGGGGAGCGAACAGG